RNAcentral lists this ribosomal RNA (253 nucleotides) under uncultured bacterium. RNAcentral describes it as "partial 16S ribosomal RNA". It matches the Rfam family "Bacterial small subunit ribosomal RNA", at positions 524 to 776 of the family's 1533-position model. The record is from RNAcentral.
UACGGAGGGUGCGAGCGUUGUCCGGAAUCACUGGGCGUAAAGGGCGCGUAGGCGGCCUGAUAAGUAGGGGGUGAAAUCCUGCGGCUUAACCGCAGGGCUGCCUUCUAAACUGUCAGGCUAGAGCACAGUAGGGGCAGGUGGAAUUCCCGGUGUAGCGGUGGAAUGCGUAGAGAUCGGGAAGAACAUCAGUGGCGAAGGCGGCCUGCUGGGCUGUUGCUGACGCUGAGGCGCGACAGCGUGGGGAGCAAACAGG